UACGGAGGAUCCAAGCGUUAUCCGGAAUCAUUGGGUUUAAAGGGUCCGUAGGCGGUUUUAUAAGUCAGUGGUGAAAUCCGGCAGCUUAACUGUCGAACUGCCAUUGAUACUGUAGAACUUGAAUUAUUGUGAAGUAACUAGAAUAUGUAGUGUAGCGGUGAAAUGCUUAGAUAUUACAUGGAAUACCCAUUGCGAAGGCAGGUUACUAACAAUAUAUUGACGCUGAUGGACGAAAAGCGUGGGGGAGCGAACAGG
This 255-nucleotide ribosomal RNA is filed under the name uncultured bacterium. RNAcentral's name for it is "partial 16S ribosomal RNA". It matches the Rfam family "Bacterial small subunit ribosomal RNA", at positions 524 to 776 of the family's 1533-position model. The record is from RNAcentral.